GUCUGACAUCCCUACUCUGUGAUCCAGACUGCCCCUCUCCUGGCAGCGUUAUACUCACUCCGUACAGUAACAUGGCGUUCUUGUGUUGCUAUAGAAUCAGUUGUCGCAUCCUUUGUCAAUCGCUCACUUCCUGGUUUAGCUUGAUAAACACCUACCUACACAGUACCCAGAGCAGGGUUUAUUACUAUUAGUACUUGAGGCGGGAAACCAUUA
Non-coding RNA from Pelobates cultripes (western spadefoot toad), 213 nucleotides. The record is from the annotation of a GenBank genome assembly. NCBI's taxonomy places the organism in Eukaryota, Metazoa, Chordata, Amphibia, Anura, Pelobatidae.